Ictalurus punctatus (channel catfish) is the source of this 795-nucleotide long non-coding RNA. Lineage: Eukaryota; Metazoa; Chordata; Actinopteri; Siluriformes; Ictaluridae. The record is from Ensembl.
CUGGCCUAACAUUAUACAAGAAAAAUUGCUCUCCUGUAGCUCUGGGUUUUUGUCAGAUCAUUUUGUGUUCUCGUUUUGUUGGCCCAGAAUGAUAGGAAUGAUAGGAACUGAUGGAAUCAGAAAAAAGUUUAAGAAUUUAAAUGAUUAUUGGAAAGGUAUUUAUGGUGGAACAUUGCAUCUCAAAGCUCCAGGGUUUGAGUGUGUCUAGAGUCUGUGGUCUCCCUACAUGUUCUCCCCAUGUUCCUGUGAGUUUCCUGGUGGUUGGAGUCUGAGGUCUCCCUGCAUGUUCUCCCCAUGUUCCUGUGGGUUUCCUAGUGGUUCGAGUCUGAGGUCUCCCUGCAUGUUCUCCCCAUGUUCCUGUGAGUUUCCCAGUGGUUCGAGUCUGAGGUCUCCCUGCAUGUUCUCCCCAUGUUCCUGUGAGUUUCCUAGUGGUUGGAGUCUGAGGUCUCCCUGCAUGUUCUCCCCCUGUUCCUGUGAGUUUCCUAGUGGUUGGAGUCUGAGGUCUCCCUGCAUGUUCUCCCCAUGUUCCUGUGGGUUUCCUAGUGGUUCGUCGGUUUCCUCCAUCAUCCCAAAACACUCCAGGUGGAUUGACUGUAAAUUGUUCCUAGAUGGUGGCCUUUCCAGGGUGUAUUCCCACCUCACGUCUAGCGUUCCCGGAAUAAGCUCAGGAUCCACAUCACCCCUGACCAAGCACACACAAUGAACUGUUCUUAUUUUAAAACUGCAUCGAUUUAUUUCUCAAGCUCAAAACAUGCCUUAAGACCUGUCCGUUCAGACGCUCCACUGUUGAAUAUC